CCUACGGGAGGCAGCAGUGAGGAAUAUUGGUCAAUGGGCAGGAGCCUGAACCAGCCAAGUCGCGUGAGGGAAGACGGUCCUAUGGAUUGUAAACCUCUUUAGGCGGGGAGCAAUGCCGGGCACGCGUGCCCGGAGGGAGAGUACCCGCAGAAUACGCAUCGGCUAACUCCGUGCCAGCAGCCGCGGUAAUACGGAGGAUGCGAGCGUUAUCCGGAUGUAUUGGGUUUAAAGGGUGCGUAGGCGGAUUUUUAAGUCAGCGGUAAAAUGUCCGGGCUCAACCAGGGCCGGCCGUUGAAACUGGGGAUCUUGAGUGGGCGAGAAGGAUGCGGAAUGCGUGGUGUAGCGGUGAAAUGCAUAGAUAUCACGCAGAACGCCGAGUGCGAAGGCAGCAUACCGGCGCCCGACUGACGCUGAGGCACGAAAGCGUGGGGAUCGAACAGGACUAGAUACCCGGGUAGUC
This 460-nucleotide ribosomal RNA is filed under the name uncultured bacterium. RNAcentral's name for it is "partial 16S ribosomal RNA". It matches the Rfam family "Bacterial small subunit ribosomal RNA", at positions 338 to 795 of the family's 1533-position model. The record is from RNAcentral.